This 497-nucleotide ribosomal RNA is filed under the name uncultured bacterium. RNAcentral describes it as "partial 16S ribosomal RNA". It matches the Rfam family "Bacterial small subunit ribosomal RNA", at positions 28 to 507 of the family's 1533-position model. The record is from RNAcentral.
GAUGAACGCUGGCGGCGUGCCUAAUACAUGCGAGUCGAGCGAACAGACGAGGAGCUUGCUCCUCUGACGUUAGCGGCGGACGGGUGAGUAACACGUGGAUAACCUACCUAUAAGACUGGGAUAACUUCGGGAAACCGGAGCUAAUACCGGAUAAUAUAUUGAACCGCAUGGUUCAAUAGUGAAAGACGGUUUUGCUGUCACUUAUAGAUGGAUCCGCGCCGCAUUAGCUAGUUGGUAAGGUAACGGCUUACCAAGGCAACGAUGCGUAGCCGACCUGAGAGGGUGAUCGGCCACACUGGAACUGAGACACGGUCCAGACUCCUACGGGAGGCAGCAGUAGGGAAUCUUCCGCAAUGGGCGAAAGCCUGACGGAGCAACGCCGCGUGAGUGAUGAAGGUCUUCGGAUCGUAAAACUCUGUUAUUAGGGAAGUACAAAUGUGUAAGUAACUAUGCACGUCUUGACGGUACCUAAUCAGAAAGCCACGGCUAACUACGUG